AGUGCCUACGGGGGCAGCAGGCGCGAAACCUCCUCAAUACACUAAAGUGUGAAGGGGUUACCUCGAGUGCCAUCUGAAAAAGGUGGCUUUUCCUUGGUCUAAAAAGCCUUGGGAAUAAGAGGGGGGCAAGACUGGUGUCAGCCGCCGCGGUAACACCAGCGCCUCGAGUGGUGGGGAUGAUUAUUUGGCCUAAAGCGUCCGUAGCCGGCCGGGUAAGUUUCCCGUUAAAUCCAACGUCUCAAGCGUUGGACUGCGGGAAAUACUGCCUGGCUAGAGAGUGGGAGAGGUAAGCGGUAUUCUGGGGGUAGGGGCGAAAUCCUUUGAUCCCCGGAGGACCACCAGUGGCGAAGGCUGCUUACUAGAACACGUCUGACGGUGAGGGACGAAAGCUAGGGGAGCGAACCGGAUUAGAUACCCUUGUAGUC
RNAcentral lists this ribosomal RNA (425 nucleotides) under Salmonella enterica subsp. enterica serovar Anatum. RNAcentral describes it as "bacterial SSU rRNA". It matches the Rfam family "Archaeal small subunit ribosomal RNA", at positions 318 to 746 of the family's 1478-position model. Lineage: Bacteria; Pseudomonadati; Pseudomonadota; Gammaproteobacteria; Enterobacterales; Enterobacteriaceae. The record is from RNAcentral.